UACGUAGGGGGCAAGCGUUGUCCGGAAUCAUUGGGCGUAAAGAGCGUGUAGGCGGCCCGGUAAGUCCGCUGUGAAAGUCCAGGGCUCAACCCUGGGAUGCCGGUGGAUACUGUCGGGCUCGAGUCCGGAAGAGGAGUGUGGAAUUCCCAGUGUAGAGGUGAAAUUCGUAGAUAUUGGGAAGAACACCGGUGGCGAAGGCGGCGACCUGGUCCUUGACUGACGCUGAGGCGCGAAAGCUAGGGGAGCAAACAGG
Molecule: ribosomal RNA, 253 nt
Filed under: uncultured bacterium
Lineage: Bacteria
Description: partial 16S ribosomal RNA
Rfam family: Bacterial small subunit ribosomal RNA
Source: RNAcentral